Molecule: long non-coding RNA, 3403 nt
Organism: Hypanus sabinus (Atlantic stingray)
Lineage: Eukaryota; Metazoa; Chordata; Chondrichthyes; Myliobatiformes; Dasyatidae
Exons: 3
Source: RefSeq, a predicted model, not a curated record
UCAGGGGGUCAGGCUGCACAUGUGACGAGGGCAAAUGAGUUAAUGUGUCAACUCAAUGACCUUUCGUCCGAGCCACUGACGUCUGACGAAAGGUCGCUGACCCAAACAUUAACUCGGUCUCUAUCGCUCCACGGACGGAUCUCAGCAACAGCCCGCUCGCAAGCGGCGUGGGACAAAGAUACCAAAAGGUCAUCCUCCAAUGCUCCAAGGAGAAAAGGCCAAGUUCACUCAACCAAUUCUCAUAAGGUCAUUUAUAAAAAAUCACGAAGAGGAGGGAUCCCAGAACAGAUCCCUGUGGAACACCACUGGUCACCGAUCUCCAUGCAGAAUAUGAACCAUCUACAACACCACCCUUUGCUUUCUGUGGGCAAGCCAAUUCUGGAUCCACAAAGCAAGAUAUCCUUGGAUCCCAUGCCUCCUUACUUUCUGAAGGAGCCUUGCAUGGAGAACUUUAUCAAAUGCCUCACUGAAAUCCAUAUACACUACAUCCACUGCUCUACCUUCAUCAAUGUAUUUUGUUACUUCCUCAAAGAAUUCAAUCAGGUUCGUAAGGCACAACCUGCCUUUGACAAAGACAUGCUGACUAUCCCUAAUCAGAUUAUGUCUUGCUAAAUGCUCAUAAGUUCUGCCUCCCAGGAUCUUCUCUAACUACUUGCCCACCACUGAAGUCAUACUCACUGAUCUAAAAUUUCCUGGGUUAUCUCUAAUGUGUGACCAUUUUAUUUUCACAGGGCUGCUAGUGGAGGGAAAAAUGAUAAAGUUGUUCAAGAGUCUCUUAGACACGUGAAUGUUAACUUGGGCACUUGAUUAGUAAUGUAACUAGUUUGGCAAAACAUCAUGGGACAAAGAUUCUGUUUCGGUGCUUUACAGUUCUGUGUUCUAAGGAGGCUGAUGCCUGAUUUAUACUUCUGCGUAGUAGCCGACGCCGCAGCCUUCGUAAGUGGCCUGCGCCGUUGUGAGCAUUUAUACCAGUGCGCUGGUGUGUCUGAAUAACUCUGCAAUUCACCGCCAAAAUGCUAGUUGGCGGUGGGGUUUCUAAUGGCAACUGAGCGCAUCAUGUUGGAGUUGGAGCUAUUAAAUGUUGAACAAGGGUUACUUUUAUUGAAGUUACUGCAAUGCAGAAAAGAGAGAAGACAUCGGAGGAGAUGGUAUGUAUGACCAUUGAACAGAUUGAGGCAGAAGGAGGGUGAAUUUUCUGUGCUUGUCCGGCCACUGAGAGACAUGGACGAGGAAAUGCAUUUCAAAUAUUUUAGGAUGUCGGCAGGUAGAUUUGAUGAUUUGGUUCAUCAUCUCCAAAAAUUUAUUUUGCAUCAGUGUACGCACAGUAUGCCUGUAGACAGGAGGCGAUGCGAUGCUACCAAGUGGACAAAUCACAGUUGUUGCAGUGUGUGUCGCCACGACGCACAGUUACAUUCUUGGAGUGGUGUGCAUCAGGCUACGGCAUUGGGUAGGGCAUAGGUUACACGGCUACGCCCUAUGUACUUACGGCAUUCAUUUGACACAGAAGUAUAAAUCAGCCUUAAAACACAAGUGGUCAGGAACAGGUCAAUUUAAUUCAAACACUCUGAGGUACAUGUGCAGUGCCCAUUUCCGCACUGACAUUGAAAGCAUGAACACUACCUCACUACUUUUUUCAUCCAUUUACAGUUAUUAUUAUGCAUUAAAUUGUAAUGUACUGUUGCCACAUUACAACAAAUUUCACUAUGUAUCAAAGGUUCAAAUUUGUUACCCAAGUAUGUAUCCAUGUACAACUUUGAGAUAUGUCUUCUCCAGAUAGCCACGAAACAAAGAACACAAAAGUCGUUUAGAGAGAAACAUCAAACCCACCCCCCCCCCCGCACAAAAAUGAACGGCACCUCGAUUGUCAACCCCCAAACCCCCUCCGCUGUACAAAGUGGAACAAGAACAUUGACUCCAAACUCCUGUCGCCUCACACAACAUAAUGGAAAAGGAAGGGGUGAAUAAACGUAGAAUAUAAAACCACGUCUGAACAAGUCUACAGUUCACAAGUGCCGUAGUCUAAUCCAUAAAUGCAGAACCACGAAACAUCCUCCGACUCACUGAAAGAGAGGAACUCCACAUGAGGCAAAGGCCUACCCUCCUGCCACUCAGCGAUAGGCCACUUACAGACAAGGUAGGCAGUCGGCACUGAGCUGAACUCUUGCUCGAUGCCUCAAACUUCCAGUCUCAGUAUGCCAGUGAUACGAAACCUGAUUCUGAAAACCCUACUUGCAGCAGCUUCACAGGCUUGUAGUUACAGACAACACAUAAAUUACACAAAAGGGAGACAAAAACAAACCAAGUCAGUUCAAAAAAAUGGCACAAUCAUAGACAAGUCCAACCUAGUGCAAGAGGCAGUUCAUGGUGUUCAUCACUGAGUUAGGAUUAGAGCUGUACAAGUCUGUUCAAGAACCAGACGGUAGUAGGAAAGGACAUUAGCUGUUCUUGAAUCUGGCGGUGCGAAUCUUCAGGCUUCCAGAACUUCUGUCUGAUGGUGGCAGUGUGAAGAAUGCAUGUCCAGGACCUUUGAUGAUGGAUGUCACCUUCUUGAGGCAACACUAUGUUAUGGGUGCAGUCGGGGUAGGAAGAGCUCUGCCCUUGAUGGCUGGGCUGUCUCUGUGCAAUCUCUUGCAAUCCUAUGCGAUGGAAUGGACAUACCAGGUCAUAACACUACCAGUCUGUUUAGAUUUGGAUAUAUACCUCAAGAAUGUUUGAAAAGAGAUAAAUAUUUAAUGAAUAUAUUGUUGGUGGCUGGUAAAAAGACUCUUACUAGGAAAUGGUUAUCACAGGAGAGCCCAACUUUAAAUACAUGGAUGGAAAUUACAAUGGACGUUUACAAAAUGGAGAAGAUAACAGCAUCUGUUAAUCAUAAGCUGGAACUAUUUGAUUCAUACUGGGAAAAAUGGUUUAACUACAUAAUGCCUCAUAGGCCUGAUGUUAUUCUCACAAAUAAUUGAAUAUGUUGUUAAAAAAAAUCACUCCUCACUUGUACAUAGUUCUUUCCUUUUGCUUGUUUUUUUUUCUUUCCACUCUUUUCUAUAAGCGUAUAUCUCAGAUAAAUACCUUGUGGAGAUUUGUGAUAUAUAUGAUUAUAUGAUAUAUAUAUACAAUGUCUGAAAUACAUCUUAUGGAAAUGUUUGUUUGAUGAUGAAUAAUAAAAAAAUAAAUUACAAUAAAAAAGAUUUGCAGCCAGUUUUGGAAAACUUGUGCAUCUCUAAUUCCCUUUAAACUCACCAGGUCCUCUGAAAAACUUACUGCACUACUGUGUAACAUAUAAUGAAAAAGUGGAAUAAAAGUGUGUUUGGGAAUAAUAUUGGUUGGUCUGGACAGUUUGCUGUAUAAGUCCUGAGGAUGUUAGCUUAUUGAAAUCUUAAUGCGAGGAUUGGAGCAUUUUAUAUUCUGC